GAGUUAGAGAAUCGGUGAAAACACAUUGCCAUCUGCCUUUUAAGCAGCGGGUCACAGGUUCGAUCCCUGUACGGCUCACCA
This 81-nucleotide transfer RNA is filed under the name Candidatus Glassiibacteriota bacterium. RNAcentral describes it as "Candidatus Glassbacteria bacterium tRNA-Lys". Lineage: Bacteria; Candidatus Glassiibacteriota. The record is from RNAcentral. RNAcentral also lists the same sequence under 1 other name.